RNAcentral lists this ribosomal RNA (650 nucleotides) under uncultured bacterium. Its description in RNAcentral is "bacterial SSU rRNA". It matches the Rfam family "Bacterial small subunit ribosomal RNA", at positions 747 to 1396 of the family's 1533-position model. The record is from RNAcentral.
UCAGAUGCGAAAGCGUGGGGAGCAAACAGGAUUAGAUACCCUGGUAGUCCACGCCGUAAACGAUGUCUACUUGGAGGUUGUGGCCUUGAGCCGUGGCUUUCGGAGCUAACGCGUUAAGUAGACCGCCUGGGGAGUACGGUCGCAAGAUUAAAACUCAAAUGAAUUGACGGGGGCCCGCACAAGCGGUGGAGCAUGUGGUUUAAUUCGAUGCAACGCGAAGAACCUUACCUACUCUUGACAUCCAGAGAACUUUCCAGAGAUGGAUUGGUGCCUUCGGGAACUCUGAGACAGGUGCUGCAUGGCUGUCGUCAGCUCGUGUUGUGAAAUGUUGGGUUAAGUCCCGCAACGAGCGCAACCCUUAUCCUUGUUUGCCAGCGAGUAAUGUCGGGAACUCCAGGGAGACUGCCGGUGAUAAACCAGAGGAAGGUGGGGACGACGUCAAGUCAUCAUGGCCCUUACGAGUAGGGCUACACACGUGCUACAAUGGCGCAUACAGAGGGCAGCCAACUUGCGAAAGUGAGCGAAUCCCAAAAAGUGCGUCGUAGUCCGGAUUGGAGUCUGCAACUCGACUCCAUGAAGUCGGAAUCGCUAGUAAUCGUGGAUCAGAAUGCCACGGUGAAUACGUUCCCGGGCCUUGUACACACCGCCCA